Rattus norvegicus (Norway rat) is the source of this 21556-nucleotide non-coding RNA. The record is from RefSeq and is a predicted model, not a curated record. NCBI's taxonomy places the organism in Eukaryota, Metazoa, Chordata, Mammalia, Rodentia, Muridae.
UUCAUCUGGAAGACAAGAGGAAGUUUGCUCAGACUGCUGUCAGUUCUGUCAUGAGAACUUUCCAAAAGCCCAUACAUGAUCAACCAGGAGCUGCCUAACACCUCUACAUUCACACUCCACAACUACGAAUGGACCAGAGGUCAAAAUCCUGAUGAAACCAACAUUUGGUACAGAGGGGAAGAGAUGAAUAUUAAUACCUACAAACACCCUAGCAAGAGGCCCUUGCUGGAAAUUCGGAAUGGCGACUUUGCCCACCCUUCUCGGGUGUGGUGAACACAGCAAAAACAGGGGCAGAGCACUACCUACCAUGAGCCCAGAAUACUGGCUAGAAGGCUCAGCUCCUCUAGGGGACAAGCCACCCAGCCUACCUGUGGCGUAGGUGGCUCUACUUUCCGUUUCUUCUUCUGGUUCUGCUUGUUGGUUCGAGGAUAUACCAUGAGCAUCUCUAACCACCUAGGACGACAGGACAAGAAAUAGUACUGGGUAAAUCCCUGACUCUGGGAAGCCUGGAUCUUAGAGCUGCUCCAUGUUGGCUGAUAUUUCUGUCAGAUACUUGAGGACCUGUGCCUGGAGGGAGUGACUCCUACAACUUCACUAUAAUCCUAAAUCAAGAUUAUCUUCCCACAAGGACCUCAGGUAUGUGGGGUACAUGGCGGGAGCUGUAGAACCACGAUAGGUAACUUCUUAUGCUCUAUCCAUUGUCAACACCAAGGAGCCUUGGCAGGGGAGUCAUCAAGAGGAACUCUUCUGCUAAGUUAGCGAGGGACUUGGGUGAGUUUGAGGAAGUAAGCCUGGGACUUUUAGUCACUGCUAAGCUUGCCAUGACUAAUGUCAGAGUUGUCAGGGCUGAGGCAUGAUGGAACAGGUCUAAAUUCCUAUCUCUUCCCUCCUCCCCCAUUUAAAACAACAAACCAGGUUCUUGUUAUGUAGCCUAGGCUGUCCGGGCUGUCCCGGAACUCCUGACUCUCCUCUUGCCUCAGUCUCCCAAAAGCUGGAAUUGUAGGCGUAUGCUACCACACUCAGCUACAUGUGAUUUUGUCAUGGAAGUCCAACAUACUUAGAUGUGUCAGAAACAUUAAGAAUAAUCCAGUGAAGAGAUGAGGGUCGGUUAGUACAUGUGAGGUUGGUGGGGACUCAUUUUCUCCAACUCCAGAAGGCAGAGCUGUCAGUGAGAAUGAGAGAAUGGGCAGAGCUAAUGACAGGGCAAGGAGAAGAGAAUGCUAGCCUCUGGCUGAGCCAGACAACGAAAAUGAGCCCCAACCAAUCCUUUAGAAAAGUUGUGUCAAAUAUGGUCCCAGCAGCCUGGAAGCCACUCAUGGGAUGAGGGAUGGAGGCUAGGUAUGUAGUAAUGUCCCUGCUCUACCUGCUUGGUCAAAGUAUCUUCUCCUUAGGAACUGGUUUUUGAUGUGACCAGAGCACAUAGGUCAACGGGGCCUGCAGUCCACAGAUGAAGAACCUUAAGCGCAUUAGAGAGGGCACUGAGAUUAGAGGAGACAGGGAAGUGAGGGUAAAACGCCUGUUUCUGGAACAUUUGUGUCAUGCCUGACUUCUUUGGUUACCAAAGAUCCCAGCAUGUGGGAAAGACUAAAGAAGCUGCUACUUGGGUCAGAAGAGGGGUUUCAAGAAUGAGGGGAGAAAAAGAGUUUCAGUUGAUUUUCUACAACUAUGGCCAUGACCUGCCAUGUAAGCUGUGGACCCCAAGAAGUACUAGCCUGCAUACAGGAUUUUGAAGCUACACAUGCCUCUGAUACCUUGGUCAGUUAAUGGUUAUUAAUAACCAUGUCUAUUUAGCAGGCCCCCAUGAUUAUGCUGACAGAACAGAUGACAGAGAAGUAACCAAGGGUAGUGGUUCAGAGUAGAGCCAGAACCUCAAGGUAGCUGUCAAAGGAUCAAUCAGUCAGAUGCUAAACAUCAUCUCUCUGAGCAGCAUGGCAUCACUGACCCAGUUCCAGAUACUCUCUGCUUGUCCUAGAGACCCAUGACUCCCUUUUCAGUCCCAACUGCCAUUCAGGCCCUCUCCUAGAUCUAAGUCUCGGAGGGUGAGGCUCCCUAGGAAACUCCACUUGGGACAUGUGUGCUAGAUCAGGCCAGGUAGCACCAGCUGCAGUCAGAAGUACAUACGGCCACUUAUACCUGACUGCUCCCUUACUCCUGACCCUCAGAUUCCUUGGUAUAGAGCAUGGGUUCAUUAGAAGUUCUAGAAACCCUUCAAUCUUGGGUUCUGGGUUAAACGCAGGAAGACACACAAAGUACUCCUUCAGGUUAUCCCUAGAAGCCUGGAAAGGAGAAUUCUCAGUUACCUACCAGAGGGUAGCGUAUCUCUUGGCCAGUACUGUCUGGCUUCCUGAAUAGCAACACUAGAAAUGCAACCAAAGGAUGCUAAAAGAAGACAAUGCUCCCAAUGGCCCUGUACUUGCUUAAACCAGAUGGCUUCAUGCCCUUACUUCCCUCUACUCUGUACCUACACCCCUCAACCUCAGACUGAUCGCUUCAAGAGCCUUGAUGAUACACCUGCCCACUUCCAGCCUUAUACGAUGAAUGGGUUUCAUUACUGAGGACAGAAAUCACAGGCAUGUAGAUCACCUGGAGGUUUCGGUGCUUCACAGGAUGUUUCUCAAAGUGGCUGCCUCACUGACUGAUACACAACCUGGAAAAGAGGGCUUAUUCUAUUUGAGGGGAAGGCAUGAGAAGCACUGUGUAGCUGAAUGUCAGUGAGGCACAGAGUGAGAAUGGGGUGUAAGUGUGGGGUGGGAGGAUAACCAACCAGUCAAGAGUUCUGAGGAAGACCUAGAAGCCCUGGAGUCCCCAGAAAUGGAUGAACAAACAGACAGUGCCUCCUGUGGCUCUGGCCAACUUACCCACUGAUGAUCUCCUUCGUUUCUGCCCUGAUAAAAUGUUCCUUGUCAGGUGUUAGGAUGCAGAGGGAGAACUUCUGCCCUGUGCGGGCCUCCCCAUCCACCACAUCUGUGCACUGGUUCAUGUUGAUGGUGCCCUGAGGAAGGGUGGUGGGCUGCAAGUACAAAGCAAGUCACUCAAAAGAGGUGAUGUCAGGUCCCACAGGCACCAACAGUAUCCACCCUUCUCCUUUAGUCCUCAGUCUUCACAGUACCACUUCCUACCCACCCACCUACGGUAGGGCAGACCAAGCUGGACUUGGGUAGAGAUACCAGCUGGACUUUACUUUCUAUCUGGAGAACAGUGUCCUAGUUUGCACUGGAGGAGGGGCAGGACAGUGAGAGAAUAGCUCAGUGAGGACUGCUGUGGAGAAUAGGCAGCCAAGAUCCUAGUCUCAGAUCUGUGAGGAAAAGUUUCUGAAAUAGUAGAUUCAAAAUAGAAAAAUAAUUAAGAAAAAAAAAAAGCCCUAAGGAGGUAGGUAAAACAGAGCCCCAUCUUUGAGCACUAGCUUUAACGCUGGGGAAUAAACUCGAAGGCUCGCACACCUGCCUGGGCUUUAAGGAGUCCUGCAGAGACUUCCUGGAGGGCAAAGGUCAACAUACAUGCACACAUGGAUGUACACACACAUCAUUUACAACACUGGAAUGUAUUAACACAGAUAUUCCGGGAAGGCAGAUGGCUGCAAUGUACCCUAUCAUGCCAGUUCCUUCACACUGCCAGAUCCUAUAGGGAAACACUGGCAUAAGCCUGCUCCAGAAGCCACAGGUGGGUGGACUUUGGGCAGACAGCAACUUCUCACCAAACUAUCCAAAACCUACUACUUGAUGGGCUUCCUUUCUUAGCACUAAAUGCUUAUGGCAGCAGUUGGACACUUGUGGUUGGCACCUUGUUUGAGAGCAGGGUAUGAGGCCUGGUACCCACAAUGAGCUUAGAAUCACCAUCUCAUGAGCUUUACCUGUCAAGUGCCUGUUAGGCAAGCCCUUUGUAGGCUCAUUCCAGUUAAGGUCAUCAGGCCAAUCAAAGCAUUCUAACUUGCUUGAUGCAGAUUCAGAGAGUUUGUUGUGGGUGGGGUGGGGCAGCACCAGAACAGUAGAGCUCUCACCCACACAAGUCCAUGCUCAAGAGCACACACCCUGAGGAAGGGUAUCAUGAGGGUCCAGCACAGCCUCGUAGCAUAGGCAGUUCUGCAACCAAGCAGCAGGUCUUCUCGGGGAGCAGUGGACAGAGACAGUAGUCUAAUGCUCCAUCUUGCCUAGAUCCAAAUCCUGCUCACUUUCUGGAUGGGGAGGCCCAGGGCAGGGUCCUAAUUUUCCUUGCCUCUUCUUUCCAGUGCCAGUCCCUUCUAGUCCACCCAAGUCUUAAUUACAGGCCCCUCUAGCAGUCUCCUAAACCUGCUUUGGGUAAACUGUCCUCUUCUAUACAGAAGCAAUGUUCUUCACCCAUGCACAAGACACAUCUUAUCUCUGAGACAGAAAACUAACGCUAUGGAGAUUGUGAGAACUGAGUGACAGAAGCUGUGCAGACAGCCAGGAGUGACCAGAUAAAAGUAACUGCAAAGGAUUCCUCCUCUUCUCUACUGCUGGAACUCUAUCCCUGACAACAAUGGCCAUGAUGGAUUUCAGACCUAUGUGACUAGAUGAUGAACUAUGACACUACAUCAUACAGAAAGAUGUUAAGUGACGAUGAUAAAACAUCAGAAUUCCUGGGGUUUUCUUCUCAAGGGAUUGGCCACCAGGCUGUUCAAGGACUCAGUGUCACAAAAGUGUUCAGGUUCCUUCAGCUCAGCUCUUCCCUUCUGCAGAGCAACAGUCAGUACUAGAAACUGGACAGUGAGCCGAAGACCCUGCCUUACAGCUGAGUAUAGCCAUGUCUCGGCCUUCAACCUCUCCACCUCCCUGACCUCAGCUCUAUUUCCUUUAGAAAAGGUUUCAAAAUGGUCAAUAAAAGGCAAAGAGAGCCAGGCGUAUAUGUUGGUGCGUAUCUGUAAUUCCAGAACUUGAGAAGUAGAGCCACAGAGCUGCUGAAAGUGGGGCCAACCAGGCUAGCCAGGGCUAGAUAAAAGACAAUAUCUGAAAAAACAAAACCAGAGAGACAAACUAAGCCAGGACAGAAGGAAAUUAACAUUCCUUUUUAAGUAGUGUUUUUGGUGCUCACCGCCCCAGUACUAACCAGAGGAGGCAUUAAUGGACCCUAUCACACACACAGGAAAGAACAACCAGAAAGAAAAUCUUACAAAACGAAGGGAUAACUAUGGCUCUAGAGCCCAAUCCACUCACAGGACUUCCCAUGAGAUGGGAACAAACUGUUGCCAAAUUAAGAUUUCUCACUCAUAGCUAAUUUCUCUUUAAUAGCAGCUUUAUUGAGACACAAUUUACAUCACACAACUUACCUGUUUACAGAGUACAGUUCAAUGGCUAUUCAGCAUUUACAGAACUGUACUAGACUCACCCCUACUAACCUCAGGCCUUAGCCAUCAUUUCCCUCUGUCUCCCUCCAAUCCCUCUGCCUCAUCACUCAUCCAAUACUUUAUCUAAAUGGAACCACAUGGUGUAAAAGCCCUUUGUGUCUGGAAGCUCCGCCUUCCUUCACCACACUCUGAAAGUUCAACAGAUCACUUUUGUCCAGGCUGAAUCCAUCAAUCAGACGAGCCCCAUUUUGCUUUCUCACUUUACCACCAAAUUACACCUGGGUUGUUUCCACUUGGAACUAGUAUAAAUAAAACUGCUAUGGGUACUCAUACUCAUGUUUGAAUGGCCUCAUACUCUCACAGCUCUCAGGUGGAUAGCUACAUGUGGAAUUGCUAGUUCAAAUGGGAACUAUAUGUUUAACUCCUUCAAAUGCAGCAGACUAUUUCCUACAGUGGCUGAAUCCUCUGACUUGACUUCCAUUCCAGCUGUGGAAAGCUCUGGAACUAAAACAAAACAAAGCAAGAGUAACCUCCCACUAUGCCUGGGUGUGGCACAGUAUACUUGGGCUCCCCUUACACUGUGUUUGAAACAGUGUUUCUUCAUUGUUCACCACUACAGGAACAAAGGAAGCUGGUUUUCAAGAUGUUAGUGAUUCCCCUAUCUCAUCCUAAGAGUGCUGGAUAGGUACUGCAACCUCCAGUUUUAUGUGGACUCUAGAGAUCUGAAUUCAAGUCUUCACACUUGUGGGGCAAGUGCAUUAUUCACUGGGCCAUCUCCCUCGCGCCACUCCACAUUGACUUCCUCCCUUUAACUGUCUUCUUUUUUAAUGGGAGUAACAUAAAUGGCAAAUUCUAUAAAGGCAUCAUAAUGAAAGCUAUUUUUCUUUUUUCAGAUUUUUAUAUUUAUUUAUUUAGUAUACUUGAGUGUGCACUCAUCUGUGAGCUCACCAAGGUCACAGCACAUGUGUGGAGGCCAAAGAGUAACCUUCAGGAGUUGGUUCUCUCCUUCCGCCAUGUGACCCUGGGAAUUGAACUCUGUCAUCAGGCUUGGUGUCAGGCACCUUUAUCCAUCUGAGCUACCUUGUGGCCCUUAUUUUUAAAAUUAGCUUCCAUCUGGUGUUUUCACACAUACUUAGUUUUUUUUUUUUUUUUUUUUUUGGUUCUUUUUUUUCGGAGCUGAGGACCGAACCCAGGGCCUUGCGCUUCCUAGGCAAGCGCUCUACCACUGAGCUAAAUCCCCAGCCCCCCAUACUUAGUUUUUGUUGAUUUUCAUGCACUCCCCUCCUCUCCCUGCCCUAUCUUCCUGGUGCCCUGUGCCCUAGUAUUUCUCCUGCAGCCUUGCUUUGCUGUUACCCCAUCCUUCCCCCAUAAUGAAUCUUUUUUUCUUAGUCUUACGUGCUUCCUUUCUAGUUUUCUGGCUUUUAUCCACAUUUCUCCAACCUGGACACACAUAUUUAGCAGUUAGAGCUGAGGAUCUGUACACAGGAGAGAAUCCUGAGGGUUCUGCCUUUCUAAGCCUGGGUCACCUCACUUAAAAGUAUUUUCCAUCCAGUUCUAUCCAUUUUCUUGAAAUUUUAUACUCUCAUUUUUCUUUACUGCUUAAUAAAAUUCUAUUUGUAUAUGUACCAGACUAUUCAUCCUGCUCUAGUGAGAAAGGCAAUCAAGAAAAUGGUAAUGAACACUGGUGAAGAUAUGGGGAGAGAACAGCAGUGCUGGGAGAGUGAGGACAGCCACUACAGAAAUGAAUGUGAAGGCCUCUCAGAAACUAAGAGCAGAACUUCCUAUGACCCAGCUACACCACUCCUAUGGAGGCACCCACAGAAUGAAUGUCUUCUACUACACAGAUAUCUGCAUGUCUCCAUUUAUCCCUGUUCUUUAUACAAUAGCAAGAAAAUGGAAUCAGCUGAGAUACUUGGCCUUAACUUGUAAAAUGAAUAGUUACCAUGUAAUUCCAACUACUACUCUUGGGCAGUAGGUCAGGUUUGCACUGACAAUCUGCUAAGAAAAGUUCUCUGUAACUCUCAACAGUGCUCUCAAAGGAACGGGUACUAAAUGUUAUACAGCAGCACUGGGAGUAGUGUUAUUCAUCCUAAAUGUAACCCAGGUUCAAGCUUUACCCCUACCCUCUUGCUGAAUAUGCCUACAGCCCCAAGAUGCGGGAAGCUCUGUUUUCCUCAUAUACCUCCUUAUAACCCUUUACAGACAGGAAGGAAGGAAGGACACUGAGAAGCUAAUACGCUAGGAAGUAGCUCUGCAGGAGUGGAACCCAAGUUCCAAAAGCAAGGCCAAAUAUUUAUGCUGUAACCUAAAUUCAGGCAGAAGAAGGUUAGUAACUCAGGUCUCCAAAGACAGAAUGCUUUACCUAGAUUUUGUGGUUUUUUGUUUUUGGCUUUUUUUUUUAAAAAAAAGAAAGAAAGAAAAGAGUGAUUUGACAUUUGACAGCCAGUGCUUCUAUAAGAUCAAUAAGAUUCUAUAAGAUCAAUUGCAAGCAGCCCUCCAGCUGCCUGGUCUCCAGUCCUCUUCUGGUUCCCAUACGGCCAGAGCUAGGUCAGCAGAGCUGUUACAAGCUGGUGGUCAUGUAAGAAGGAGGGUAGCAAACCAGAGGUGGGGGAGACAGGACAAGGGUUUCUCACCAAAGAUGGGGCAGAGUGUACUGAGAGCCUAGUUCUAUCCUCAGUCUUCUGCUAGUUGGCCUGAGUAUGCACUGCAUCCAGGAAACUGUCAGGGGCCAAGGUGACCCUUCUGGGUUUGAACAACUCUGCUGAAACAGUGUGGCUACUCAAAGACUUUCCACUAUAUCCCAGCAGGUAGACUUGGAGGAAAACCAGCCCAUGAACUGUUGAUCCCCUUUCUUCUAACCUGUCUGACCACUGAGAUUACAAGUGUGUGUGCACUACACUUGGCCCACCCUGUUUGUUAUUGAUCCUGGAGAGUUUAGGAGAGCCAGAAAAGAGGAAGAAAGAAAAUGGGAUGAGCUGCCAAGUGAGCUGGUUAGUACGGUAAGAGGUCUUUUUUUUUUUUUUUUUUAAACAAUUAGCUGCUAUUGUGGAACCAGAGGUACCUCAGAGGGCACAUGGUAGUUAUCAUCCUUCACUCAAAUGGGAAAGAAAACAAUCCUACAGAAACCCACUUUCCCCCUGGCGCAGAAUAUUACUUCCCAAAUCUGAAGGUCUAAAAGGGUUUGUCAGAGUGAAGCUUGACCCUACCCACUGCUGGAGGCCCCAGAAUGGAUUUUUCUUUUUUCUUUUUUAAUGAUUUAUUUUUAUUUUAUGUGCAUCCAUGUUUUGCCUGUAUGUAUCUCUGUGUGGGAGUGUCAGAUCCUCUAGAACUGAAGUUACAGACACAUGUAAGCUGCCAUGAAGCUACUGGGGACUGAACUUGAGUCCUCUAAAAGAGCAGCUGCGAUGAUAAUGAUGAUGAUACUGCCGCUGCCACCACCGAUCAUCAUCAGCAACUCUCCUUCUCUUCUUUUUAAAUUUAUUUUUUGUUCUCAAUACAUCCUGACUGUAGUUUCCCUUCCCUCCACAGCCAGUGUCAUUGAGAUCAGCAUGCAGCCUAUAACCUGGAGCCAGAUUCCAAAGUUCUUAGCACAACCGUGAAGACACCCAUCUCCUUCCCAUAGGGAAUAGCCACCUCUUUGAAUGUUAUUUGAAGCUAGCUAGUGGUUAGUAGUUAGUGUUCACACUGACCCCAAAAGGACCCACUAGACACAAUGCCUGGAGCUAUAGUGAGUGAGUCAUGGCACCGGCCAUAGGUUGCACAGUGUAGAGGGAAAGCGGGCAUACACAGCUGAAUAAUAUGCUUGCCCCAAGGAGUAAGUGACACUAUUAGGAGAUGUGGCCUUGUUGGAGGAAGUGUGUCAUCAUGGGGAUGGACCUUGAGACCCUCCUCCUAGCUAUCUGGAAGUCAGUUUCUCCUGUUGGCCUUUGAAACAAGAUAUAGAACUCUUAGCUCCUACCAUGCCAUGCUUGCCUGGAUGCUGCCAUGCUCCUGCCUUGAUGGUAAUGGACUGAACCUCUGAACUUGUAAGCCAGCCCCAACUAAAUGUUGUCCUUUAUAAAACUUGCAUUGAUCAUGGUGUCUGUUCACAGCAAUAAAACCCUAACUAAAACAGAGGCAAAAAAGCCAGACAUAGGAUAUCAAGACUCCUCCAGAUGCUAGUAACAUAGGAGCUAGAUUAGUCUAUGAAGUCCUAUGAAGAGUAGGCUCCGAGAGCAGAGGAACAGAUGAGCAAGUCCAUUCACCAAGGGUCUUUCCAUAAACAGUCGUGUUCCUCUAACUGUGAAGUAGCGUCAUCCAGUACAGGUGGAGGGAAGCCCUGGGAGAUUAAAGCAGCAUGCCAAAGCUGAUGCUGGCAACCAGCGCCAGGAGAGUAGCAAGAGCUGAACCACAAAAGCUCUGACCCUGAGGCCGAACAGGGAGAUGAGUCAGGCACAUCACAUAGACAGACCAAGUGCAGCAAAGGGGAGGGCCUCAAAAAAGAUUGCUACAAGAGUGGGGGGCAUAGCCUCAUCUACUAUGUGUUCUUGGGAUAAGCCUCCAAGCAAGCAGAAUAGGGUCAGGAGGGAGCAGCAUAUGUUAGAGAGAAUGGACUGUCACAGCAAGACACCCACCCAAGUUUGGAGAAGCAGGAAGGUAGGAAGGUAGGUCGUGCAGGCAGUCAGGUUACCAGUGCAUUCCACACAAAACCAAUCUCAAUUCUGCAGCUUAUUCUGUGAUUGCUCUGACAGGAACAAGGACUCACACGGAUGGCAGCCUGUAGCCUGCCCCACUGGCACAUGCGAUUCUCAUGAGCCACCCACAGACACAAGCAGAAAAGAGGUCCUAGUGUGUUGUAUGGGCUUCACUUCAGGAUGUCUUCCCUCCUUACAGUCUAGGCCCCUGUCCUGCCCCUGCCAGUCCUUCAAAGGAGCCUCUUUUCCUAGCCUAUUCAAGUAGCCAGGUCUAGAGCAACCUCUAUUUCCCUGAGUUUCUGGUACUGCUUUCUCUUCUAUUAUUAUUAUAAUUAUUAAUUUUAACAUUUAAAAAAGAUUUAUUUAUUAUAUAUAAGCACACUGUAGCUGUCCUCAGACAUACCAGAAGAGGGCAUCAGAUCUCAUUACAGAUGGUUGUGAGCCACCAUGUGGUUGCUGGGAAUUGAACUCAGGACCUCUGGAAGAGCAGUCAGUGCUCUUAACCGCUGAGCCAUUCCUCCAGCCCGACUUUAACAUUUAAAAGCUGUAAUGGUGAUGCAGGAUUCCUACAUACUCAUCACUGAGGUGGCUCUGUCGUCAACACCUUUCACGGGGUGGUGCAGGCAGCCAACCACUGCUUGCCAGGUCAACAGACUCCACGCUGAGUCUGCGGAGUUUUCGUCUAGCGUUCUAGAGCAAAUUAAUUGUCAUGGGACCUUAGGCUACUCUUGCUUGUGAUGGUUUCUCAAAAUUUCCUUCUAAUUUAUGGUCUUGACAGUUUCACAAAGGCUAGCCACAUAGUUUGAAGGCUAUUCCUUAGUUCGGGUGCCUGUUUUUCUCAUAACUCGAUUAUGGUUCUGGAUGCUAAGAAGGAAAGCCACUGAGGUAAAGCACACCUUUCAUUGUACCUGAUGAGACUGUAGGACUUCUCGCUGGUGUUGGUGGUUAUGUCUUGUGGUAAGCUAUGGCCCAGAUCUGAAGGAAAAUUACUAUAUACUAAAUAGUCUGCUUGGAGAGGAGAGGGACUGAUGACACAUGAUGACACAUGAGGGGAAAAUCUGCAUGGGUUAUUUGAAAUUCUUUUGCACAGAUUUUUUCUUUCCUAUUUGCUUAUUUCUUUAUCAAUCAAGUUAUAUCUGCGAAGACUGGUAGACAUUUAAGUCAUCCCCUGAUUAUAACCAAAAUACAAAAUUCAUUUUGUCCCUCAUAUUGUUCCAGCUUUAGGUACAGGAGCUUUUCCAGUGGCUCCUGUUUGACAUCAUAGUACUUCCUGGACAAGGUGCUCUAGGCUGAUCGAGUACAACAUUUGCCUGGCUCUAGAUCAGCCCCUCACAGAAGCCAGGGCCUUACCUGAAGAAGGACAUUAAAAACCCUGCUCAAGUGGUGGGAAUUCUCAUUGCUCAUAGGAUAUUUUGGCUUUUAGGCCCUCUUAGUUGCCCAAGAAAGAAAGGCACAAGCUGCUGGAAUCUGAAUACAAUCCUAUCUACUACUUUCUGUGUGUCUCUGAUGAUGUCUGUAUCAGACUAAGCACACUGAAGUCUUCAACACUACAUCAUGACUGCAUGGUCUAGCCUUUUCUCCCUUGGGCUCCAACAGUACUUCCUACCAACCACUGUCCAUUUACUUAUUAAAGCGUUCCAUCCCAGUCCAUGUGCAUGCACAUGUAGCUCUGUAAGAAAGAACUAUGUUCCCUAGGUGCUACACUCAUGCACGGCGCCUGCCUUCCAGCUUCCAGGCGCUGCUCAUUUCUGAAACACACUUGUAGUUAUAUCACUGUCUAGGAUCUCCUCCGGCCAACCAAAGAGCUUGCCACUGGCCUUGUACGUUUAAGAGGUCAAAGGGGCAUGAGAAUAUCAUUGUGUAAGAAUUUUAUACCUUUUACUAUGAGUUUUUGAGACACUUCCAAGACAUUUGGAUGAAAGAAGAAAAUAGGAGAGUAACAAAUGAAUUAGUGAGUUUUUCUGUUACUGUGACAAAAACCCUGAGGAUAUCUACUUGAAGGAAGAGAUUUUACUUUGACUCAAGAGUUUCAAUAUUUGGUUAGCUGGCUCAAUUGCUUGAAGUGAGGCAAAAUAUCACAAUGCUAUGGAAAGAGGGAGACAAUGAGGGAAGCCGGGAUAUAGUCUUCAAGCACAUGCCCAAAAGACCUGCUCCCUUCAGCUACAUCCUAUGCCUUUUAAAUUUCCAUGAACUCCCAAGAGACUGACCAUCAAAUUGUAACUGUAGUAAUAAGAGAAUCCAUGUUAUCAACCAAGCACUCAGCACAUGGCCUUGGGUGAGGCAUUUUAGAUUUAAACCAUGGUGUGCUGUCUUAAGACUGGGAUAGGUAGGAGGGAGAACUGACUGGAGGGAGGCAGAGACUGGCUGAUAUCCCAAGACUGAGAAAGAUGGUUUGCUAAAUCAAGCUAUAUGCACAGGGCUCAAUGUUUGCUGAAUGAUAGAACCAGCUAGAACUGAAAACAGAAACUCAGAGGCUGUGUCCCAUUUUCUGGGGUAAGACUAGAAUGUCAGGAGAGUAAAUGUCUCCUGUGGUGCUGAGACCCUGACCUCUCCUUGCUACCAUAGCAGGCUCUUCCUUAGACUGACCAUCCAGCUGUCUGAAGUCACUCACAGCUCUUAGACCCAAGAUGACCUGACAGAAGCAGAAGCAAAGAUGGGUUGAGAAUCUGAGAUGGACCACAGCUGUGCGGAGCUGGCAUGUUGUGUUUGAUGAAAUAGAAAGGGCUUCACAAGGGGCUUGGAACAACUAGGACCCCUAAAAUGCCUACCAGCUGCCACCGCCAGCACCACCACCACGUCCUCCUCCUCUUCCUCCUUCACAACAACAACAACAACAACAACAACAUGAAGCUUUAAUCUGAGGGACAGGAGGAAGGGGGUGCAGUAUGAUAUCUUCCUUAAAGAAGGCAUGAUACGACUUAGUGAAAAGGGCCAGAGACACAGAGAGGCAACAGCCAUGUCAGACAACUGCUCCCCCAACAGGACAGCAUCUAUUUUCAGAGAUGUGUGACAGAAGUGAUGUGGCCAGAACUGUGUGUGAUGAAAGGAGACAAAGUCUGAAAAUCUUUUACCUCUAGCAGCCUCUCAGUAAGGAGUAACCUAACUGAGACAAAGCCAGAGCAACCAGGUUCUGCCUGGUUCAAGCAUAGUGCCUAAUGAGCACGCUCUUCUCGAUGUAUCCAGUCAGUGAAUGCUUCUAGGCUAGGAUCAGUUGUGCACACCUGUCAUUCAGGUGUGGGAAGCUGAGGCAGGACUGUGAGUUCAAAGCUACUCUAGGUUAUACAGUGAGACCGUCACUUUUUUUUUUUUUUUUUUUUAAAUAAAAGGGCUGGGGAUGUGGCUCUGCCUUGUGCAUGUGAAGCCUGAGUAUAAUCAUCGGCACUGUAAAAAUAAGUAGACAAACAAACAUUCCUAAGAGGCCUUCCUUUUGGUGGAAGGAGUCCUAAAUGCUAUGAGAAUGACUGUUUUAAAGAUUAAACUAAAAAAAAAAAAGUCAAGUUGAGCUGAAAGGAAGCCCUGCCCAGGCCACAGAGUUACCAUUGUUGUCCUUGGGCAACCCCACACACUCACUAUUUUUCUUUGUAGGGUUUGAACUGGCCAGAAAUUGAGUUUCGUGCCUGAGCCUCCAACACAGCCACAGCUACAUGCCUCCCUAGGUAGCUCUAUGCAGGCUCUUCAUGAGCAGGUGCCUACAGCCGGAGGGGAGGGCAGCCCCUGGAGGAGGGCCUCCGCCAGUCUCAGAAGCAAUCUGUCCACCUGGGUGUGUGGACCUAGAGAAUGUGUCACUUCUACUAAGGUGCAGCACAGCUCUUAAAGGAGAUCAGUGGCCAGAGUAGUCACUGCAACCAUGAGCCCCAUGGUGAAGCUAUAUUAUUUAACAGUGUCCUCUUGCUACCUCAGCCAUUCCUAACAGGAAGGUCACAUGAGAUUGUAGCAGUAGCUGCACAGCUCCCUGCUCAGACACACAACACCAAAAGGUUGCUGUAGUUUCCACACGCUAGACUAUCCCCUCUCAGGGCCAAGAGCAACCACAACUGAGCAGGCAGAACUAACAAGUGCCACGUUGGGUCCCAGGCGAGGCUUAGGGAGAUGCUGCAGCUUAUAUGGGCAAGAUUCAACUCAGCAAAACUCUAUGACCACAACCUGUGUGGAACCAUACUUACUGUGUUUUACUAUGUAUUCACAAAGUGUUGUUCAUGUCUAACAUGUCAGGCAUAGAUAACCAUGGAAAUGCACCCCAGCACCUGGCUGUUGGCACCUUCUUUCUGCUCUCUGGACUUUAGCUUCUCUAAUUUAUAAGAUGAUUAUACUGAGGCCUAUUUCAGAAAGACUAAUAUGAAUCUAAUGUGAAUGUCUAUAGAACAUGGAAGACAUAACAAAUGCUAUAUGACUAUCAGGCAUAAAUAGUCUUCAGUAGCAUUUAGGUUUCCUCAAGAAGAAAUAGAGGGGUUAAAAAGCUUGCUCAGCCACCAGGAAAAUGUAAGUGAGAAUUACAGUGAGAGCCAACUGUUCUCACUCCUAUGGCUAUAAUGAGAAAGAUGGACACAAGCUGAACAUGACAAGGAUAUGCCUUGACAGGGCCCUCAUACUUUGCUGGUCAAAAUGAGAACUAAGGUAGCCACUGUGGGAAAGUGUAGUGACAACUUCAAAGGCUAAAUACAAUGACCCUAUGACCCAGCACUACCACUUUUAGACAUACAUUCAAUGAAACAGAAAGCAUGUCCACACAGAAAUGUGUAAUGUGACUGCUCACAAUAGCCUGAUUUAUAUGUGCUCAAGGGUGGGAUCACAGAUAUCCAUCAACAGAUGACUAGAUAAGUAAACUAUGGGACAUCUACACAAUGGACUAUUUUUCAGCAUUAAAAAUGUUUUAUCUGGGUGUGGCGACACAUGCCUAUAAUUGCUGCACUGGAGGCAGAAGCAGAUAGAGCUUUGUGAAGUAGGCCAACCUGGUCUACAGACUGAGUUCUAGGCCAGCCAGACUUAAUUGAAAAAAAAAAAAAAAAGUUGGGACUGAGGAAGAACAGGAAGUUGACUGCUAAAAGAAUAGGGUUUUCUUUGUAAUGAUGAAACAUUUUAAAUUGGCCACAAUGACAGUUUUCAAAUACACUAUUUGUAUAUAUAACCAAAUAUACUUAAAAAAUCAUUUAAGUGUUUACUUUAAAUGGGUGAGCUGUGUGAAUCAAAUUUUAAGACAAUUAUUACAACAAAAAGCAAAAUCCUUUUACCACCCAAGUCACACACAGAGCAGACUCAGGCCAAAAUGGUAUUUGCCUGUCAGCCUCCCUCUGCCUCUUGUCACGCCCCAGGACCUGUGCAUGGAGGCCUUUGUGUCUCUGAUAGUUUCAUGGAUCACAAUAUAAAAGUAUUCACACAGCCUGAGUUUGCUUGAGUUCUCACGCUUGCCACCCAGUCUUGUGCGUGUGCGGGCGUGCGUGCGUGCGUGCCUACUGCAUUGCAGUGCAUUAACAGUGGAGCUCCCAGCAAUGACUUGAUGGAUUAGCACUUCACACCAGUCUAGAGGUUUUAAGAAGCCACUUCUCCUACAGGUAGAAUGUUGGACCUAUUUUCUCCUCUGUAAAAAUAUAACCUUGCUCCUAAUCAUCUAUCUAGCAUGGAGGUGAGGAGGUAUGAGGACACACAUAUUCAACACACACUAGCUAUCCCAGCUAUCUUGGGGAUGGGCAGGGAUACACAGGUGACAUUCCCACCUCCUUAUUCCCCAAAAAGUCCAUGUGACUCUGAGGUUGGAUCUAUCCCAACUUCUAUGUCUUUGUUGCCACGAGUCCAAUCCACCUGUGGUUCUCUAAAGCACCACGUUUUUCCAGAGUGCCAACUGAGCCAGGCUGUACCUUGUACCUAAUACAAUGGCUCUAAGUCUGUCUCUCCUUAGGGAUCCUGUUUCCCAACAGAGUCAUCAAUUCCCUGGCGAUAGGAGAAGAUCCUCCUAUUUGCUAGGUCCUUUCUUAGACCCUGCUUAGAGACCUCUGAAUAAUUAAUAACAGAAAGGAACCUCCAUUUCACUUGAGAAGUCAAGGCCCUGGGUACUCUAUUCACCAGCCUGAGAGAAUGCUGGCCACACAAAAGUAGUUAAAAAUAAACAUCAGACACAAAAGCCACUGGUAACUACUUAGAGGAACAGAGACAUGAAGGGGAGGCCAAUAAUGUCCUCUGUCUCCUGAAAAACUGAUUUGUUGUGCUACAGCACAAACUUCAACUUUUUCUAUGCAAAAAGAGAAGGCAAGGCUGAGAAUGGAAGCAGGAAGUAAUCUGGGUAAACCCUAGUGCAUCUCCAAUGAGGCAGCUUACUAAAACAGGCUCCCACUCCCAUAUGCUGAGAGACAGCUUGAGCAUCUUUCUGAGUAGCACUUAGGGGCAAGACUUCUGUGCCCAGGGCUGAGGGCAGGGGGACCAAGUGAAAAGCUACCAGGUAUAUAAGCUGCUGAGACCAGCAAGAUGCCAGCCAUGGCCUCCUCCUUAGUACCACACUAGUAAGGUCAGUGAGGCAUCAACUAUGACCUCCUUCCUGGCACAUUAGUAAGACAAGUGAGGCACCCAGAGUCCCCUCCUCCUUAGCAUCAUAUUUGUCAUCAAAUUUAUCCCAGAUUCUUUCAAAAGUAUAUUCAGUCCACCUUUAAAGAUCCCAGGGCCAGGCAAGGAAAUGAUUCAGCUCACAGCCAUCUGAAGUAAAUGACCAACUCAUAGCCCAUCAUCUGUCCAUCAUACCUCCCUCCUAGGAGAUGAAAUCUGAGGGGUACAAAAGAGUGGCCAGGGAGUAUCUGGAGGUGAUGUGCCAGGUCUCCUAGUCUGUGAAUGACUGAGUUAUUGACGUGUACCACUCCAAAUACAUUUGCUCAGUACACAGUAUCAAGUUGUGGUCAAUAUCAAUUCAGAAACAUACGUGAUGGAAAUGGCCAUAAAAAGAAGACAUAAAGGAAGCUGAAGCACGGAGUAGCCAGCAGGACUGAGGAAGAGUUGUAUCUCUUCCUGUCCACAACAGCUCACCACAAGGGGCACUUAAGUAUCUACCCCAAAGUGGCCCACAGGUCUAAACACUCUGAAAAGAAGAGUCCUCUGGAACAAGUGCAUUCUCCAGGGUCAUUUGCAGGGUCCCAAGGCCCAAAGAGAGUUGAAUUACUCUGAGCUGCAGUGGUCAUGUUCUAGGAGCUAAAGUAGUCUCUUUAGCCUUUGGUUUUUCAAAUUCUCUAGCCAGAACUCUACUCUCAAUAAAUAAUAUAAAAAGAAUAGGGAACUAUAUACAUAACUGUUGCCUACACUACUGUCAAAUGUUUCUGAAGGUUUUUAUCUUUUAAAUAACAUGAACAGUAUUUUUAGUCGGACACAGCAUUGAUGAAAUCUUAAACAACUUCCUCACCAGUGAGCGGGCAUCACUGGAUCCUAGGCAAGAGAACUACUUUGCAAGGAACAAAGCCUUUCCUUUAGUCUAAUGGUCAAGCAAGCAUAGAAAGCAGGACACCUUGUUGGUUUGGCAUCCUUGUCUUCCCUUCAUCUCUUCAGAUGAAUGUUCAGAGAGGACAGGAAACAGGAUUCUGCUACAUUGUAGCUUACUGUCUCCACUCUUAACUGGCCAUCCUCAGUCUUCAUGGUGCAAAGGGAAAAGGACAGGUUUACUGAGUCACAAAGGCACCUCAGGGUAAGCAAACAGAAAGCAGAAUUGGAAUUUAACCCUCACAUAUCAACUGAAGUAUUUUCUGACAAUUGCCUGAAGGCAAACUAACUCAACUGAAAAAGCCCAGCCUGGAAUAAACUAGAAGACUGGUCUCUUCCCAGGCAUCUUGUGGUCCCCAAGACCUCCACUUCUAGCCAAAAUGGCUUGGGAGGUUGACGAUGCCAGCAAGGCACUCUGAGCAACCUAGAUCUCAAGUUAGAGUGCUUCUGGGACGGGGGACGCAGACUUCCAAGGUCGUCCAUGCCUGUGUCUGCCUAGCCAGCCUUCUGCCCAGGACCCUUGAGUGAUAGGGAAGAACUAACCUACAGCUACCAAGAACCACCCCAAGGAAGGUAUAUAUUACCCUAAGGAUAAGCGUCUACUCCGAUCUCUACUAGUGUGACAGCUGUCAAAGGACAGAAUGUGAUGCCUAGAAGGACUUUUCUUUUGAGUUGACCUGAACAAGUGAACCAAACAACGGCAGACUUUCUGGAGAAUUGAUCUUAUUUUUGUGUCUCAAAAAAAUGUGUCCAAUAAAUACCUUGACUUUAUAAUUGAGCAAAAUGACAAAAAAGUUUUUGUGCUUCUACCCUCCUACACACAACGGCUCCAAAUCCAAUAUAGUUUGACUUUUAUUUUCUUAAAUGGCCUAUAUAGAGAGGUGGGUCUGCUUCACUCUGUACAAGUUAAGUAGGAAUAUUGAAAGUUUAAAAAAAAAAAAGGAAGAAGAAGCAAGACAACAGAUGAGGAAAGGAAACUGAUUUUUCUCUUUCCAAAGAGAUACAGAAGAGAGAGAGAGAGAGAGAGAGAGAGAGAGAGAGAGAGAGAGAGAGGUGUCAGCUUGCUGAGUGCAGUUGUGUAUGUUGACACUUCUCUUCACCCCAAGUCUCUGCUGGAUCCUGAGGGCACAGGUCUGGCCUGCAAGGAAAAGGGAGAGGCAGCUAGUGGCUUUCAACCAACAGCUGAAUGCAGCUCUUCUGAGUUCUGAUGUGCAGAGCUCCCAUAUGAAGGGCUGUGACUUUGACAAGGCUAUUUUUGGAUUCCAAGUAGGAUGAAAAUAAGAUGUGCAGUACGGCCAGACACCUUACUGGGAAGCUCCUCAGGGCUCCUCUUACUCUAGCUCCUCCCUGCAUAGCUCCUCUGAGAAGGGAGCCGGCCCUUAUAUUUUCUUCCUCCCCUGGGCCCUUCUUCCCCUGUGCUUCGAGAAUGUGUGGGCCUCACCCACUUGUCUGUCUCACAGAGCUGGGAAACAUGGAGAUAAAUAAAGCCUCAAUUAGGCAGGAGUCCAAAGCUAGGAUUGGGGGUUGGGAAGAGUGCUGUCUGAGACUCUGUCCCAAUCCAGAAAUGCCUGAGAAAGCGCCCGGGGCCACAAGCAGCCUUGAGGUUGGACACUUCCCACAGCCCCCUUUGGCCUGUGCUGACCAGGCGUGGUCAAAGGCUGGGAGCCACGCCAUUCCCACAUGCAGCUCCUCUAGGCUGCCCAAGCCCUAGCUCCCUUUGCCAUCCCACAUAUACAAGGAGGAAGGAGUCUGGGCUAUUGGCCCUUCCAUUCCUUUCCUUGUGAGAGAGAGGGACUACAGAGUGAUGGCUUGUCCCCAGCAGGGAUGGCUUCAGAUGCUGUGGCGCCCCUCCAGGCCCGACAAAGGCAGUUUUCCCCCCUUUCAACUUUGGAAACUCAGUGUUCUUAUUUAUUCCUUUCUGAGCUUGGAAAGAACAAUGAGAGGGAGAUCUUGUUUCUUCCCCUAAGUCUUGGGUGGGGGGAGAGUAGCAGCAUAUGGGGGAGGAGACUGGGCCAGCAGAAGCUCACAGAUAUUUUUAGAGACAUGGGAAUUAAGUAAGCCUGAGACAGCUUUGUUUUCAUCCAAAAGGCCAAGUGGGUGGGGUGGAGUCAGAGCUGAAGGCAGAGAACAGCAAAGAUUCUGGAGACUGUGAGAGACGGAGCAGUCUCUCCUCCGUGCUGUGGUCUAUUCCACUUUCCUUUACCAAGGGAUAAGUAGCCUGUGUGCCUGCACCCAGACUCCCUUUUAGCUCAGGGGACAGCAAAGUGGCAAGGGGCAGCAAACUUUGAUCCUGCUUCUGACGUGGGAGAAGCAUAAAAUCCAAAAUGAGAUUUCUGAGUUGUCUUUUGGCUUCUAAUAACUGUUCUUGAAGAUCAAAGCCAUGGUACCAAACAUCUUUUAGAGGCCUCACUCAAAAAGCCUGCCACUAUAGUUUGGGAUAGGAUACAGAGAAAUGAAAAAGGGAGAAGCUAGGGAGACCCAGCCAGUUAGCUGAUAUCAUGCAAUGCUACUGAAGAAUUAACUACUGAUAGGCUCAAAACUUACUCAUUUCCACACCAGCAAUCCUACUUCCAAGAAUAUUCUCUGAGGCUCUCAUUUUUUUUUCUUUUUAUUUAUUCUUCUUUCAUACAGUACAUCCCAACUGCAGUUUCUCCCCGCCCCCUCCUUAUUACCCAGACUCACCCCGGCUGGCUCCAUCUCCCUUCAGCAAAGAGCAAGCCUUCAAGGGACAUUAACCAAAUAUGGCAUAACAAGCUACAGUAAGAAAGACCAGGCACAUUAUCAAGCUGGAUAAGGCAACUCAGAUGGAGAAAAAGGGUGCCAAAGGCAGGCAGCAGAACCAGAGACAGGCCCCACUCCCACUGUUAGGAAUCCCACAAGAAUAUCUAGCUACACGACCAUAGCAAAUCUGCAGAGGACUUAGGUCAGACCCAUAUAGGAUCCCUGAUCUCUAUGAGCCUACUUGAGUCCUAGUCAGUUGAUUCUGUGGACCAAGUUCUUGUGGCGUCGUUGAUCUCAGACGUACAUUUAAACAAACAAACAAACAAACAAACAAAGAAACCAGCCUGGAAACAAGUUGAGAGAGAGUGUAAGAACCAUGAGCAAACCUGAUGGAUGCAACGGUGAAUGAAGAUAAUAUAUAUAGGAUAAAACAGGAAACUGCAGAAUAGAACAUUUUAAAAAGUUACAAGGUUAAAUACUUAACGAAUCUUACUUUUUGGCCUCAGGAAUGUACACAUCUGUGUGCCCGACAGUUCACAGACUCUGUACGAACUGUUAUCCCCAAGUGGUAAGUCUUACCAAGCAACUUUGUUUUCAGCUUCCCCAACUUCCACCAUGACCGAUCUGACUUCUGUCACUAGGGGAAGCCCUGCUCUCUAGCCACUCUGGUCUGGGCAGUGCCAUCUUUCAUGAGACACUGGUCCUGCUGAGAAGUCUCCAUCUUCACAGUCCAGAUUAUUCUUCACCUGCUCCUACCUGGGAAGCUAUAGAGCUUACUGGCUGGCUGACUGGUUGGUUCCUGCUACAGGUAAACAGAGGGCAAGUGUGUCUUUCCUGUUCACCUCUUGCAGCUUACAUACCUCAGGACAGCUGACUCUGUUUCUCUGGCUAGACUAAGAACCUGGAAAAGCAAGGACCCUAUUUCAUCUUUAUUUUCCCAACUUUAUGUUUCAAGGCACAGAGCAAAGCAGCACUGUAUGUAUGAAGGAACAAGGUCAAUCUCUGACAGUUUCCCAAGGCUACAUAUAAGUAGAGCCCUCAGGAAAACAGGUGAGACAAAGAAAAAGAUACCAGUGCUCUACGGCCCUGGAAUGAGGACAGGCCUAAGCCCAGGUUUCUGCUGUUAUUUCUCAGUUAUUGGAGUAUCAGUAGCAGAACCUGUCCAGGCCACCACAAGGGUAUUAUUGUUAAUCCCCAGUAGGUGAACGGGCUCUUUAGUAAAAGGGCUCAUUCAUCAGAGGAGAUUAGAUAAACUGCCUCCUCCAACAGCAAGUAACCCCUGGGUUUUUAAUGAGGAGGACUUGCAAUUUUAACUGAAGCAAGGAACAGCAAGGUACAUUUAAUUCAGGAUGCAAAAAAAAAAAAAAAUGCAGAGAUCACUACUACAUUUACAUAUUCAUACAUACUAACA